GCUUUGCCACGUCAGACAAGAGGGAAUGAUUGUGGUGUUUUUGUACUCAUGUACACCCUCUCAAUGGUGUGUGGCAUUGGGUUUCAAUUCCAGGAGAUGGAUAUGCCUAUCAUCCGUCAGUGGUGGUGCCUUCUACUCAUGGAACGAUUUCAAAUUGAUGGGUAUGUCAGU
Long non-coding RNA from Danio aesculapii, 171 nucleotides. RefSeq lists it as uncharacterized. Lineage: Eukaryota; Metazoa; Chordata; Actinopteri; Cypriniformes; Danionidae. The transcript has 3 exons. The record is from RefSeq and is a predicted model, not a curated record.